CGUUGAGAAGCUAAACAGGACAUAGCGUUAGCCUUUUAAGCUAAAGAUUGGUGAUUCCGACCACCCCCAAUGA
This 73-nucleotide transfer RNA is filed under the name Rhinomuraena quaesita (ribbon moray). RNAcentral describes it as "tRNA-Lys". It matches the Rfam family "tRNA". From Rfam's summary of the family: Transfer RNA (tRNA) molecules are approximately 80 nucleotides in length. Their secondary structure includes four short double-helical elements and three loops (D, anti-codon, and T loops). Further hydrogen bonds mediate the characteristic L-shaped molecular structure. tRNAs have two regions of fundamental functional importance: the anti-codon, which is responsible for specific mRNA codon recognition, and the 3' end, to which the tRNAs corresponding amino acid is attached (by aminoacyl-tRNA synthetases). tRNAs cope with the degeneracy of the genetic code in two manners: having more than one tRNA (with a specific anti-codon) for a particular amino acid; and 'wobble' base-pairing, i.e. permitting non-standard base-pairing at the 3rd anti-codon position. Lineage: Eukaryota; Metazoa; Chordata; Actinopteri; Anguilliformes; Muraenidae. The record is from RNAcentral.